This is a long non-coding RNA of Lolium perenne, 1700 nucleotides long. RefSeq lists it as uncharacterized. Lineage: Eukaryota; Viridiplantae; Streptophyta; Magnoliopsida; Poales; Poaceae. The record is from RefSeq and is a predicted model, not a curated record.
GGAAAUAAGUCUCGUGCUAGUUCCAACCAAUCAAAAAGAAUACUCGUGCACCAGUCCAGAUAAAAAUGAAAAAUGUAUGGUGCAAAUCUUCUCCCAAAACUCCUCCCCGACGACCUCCCAGGUCUCCGACGAGCUCACUCCAUAGAUCUCCGACCCAGGCUCCUCCGACUAAUGACGCCCCUGUGCCCUGGCUCCGCCGCCCCGCCCGAGCGACGCCGCCGUCAUCCGGCCAGCCACUGCUGGCCUCCGAUCCACACGCCACAGCCAAAUCGAACACCUCCGGCUCUUCAACUACGGGAUUGGACAUCAGUCCUCCGCGUCCAAGUCCGGUGGAUUGCCGCAGCUGUCCUCAACGGCGGGAUCGGGCCCCCAGCCUCAACAACGGGGUCGUAGUCAGCGGCCACCGCGAUCCUCGCCUGCGGGAUCGGAUGCCACUGCCGCAAGGUUUUACCUAAUUUUGUUCGACUAUUUGAAAUUUGAUUCGAUUCACGCUUUGAAUUAUAGCCUGGUUUUCCUUUGCUCUGACCAUCAACAAUACUCUCAAAUUUGUAGUGCUGAAAGAGAUACAUAUACCACAUUAGCUACAUCAGUUUUUCUGUUGAGCUUCUGCAUAGAGGAGUUUGAGCAACGUUGUCUCUUUAUUUUCUUCUGUGCCAACAUUCAUAGUAUUGGCAUUUACAUAUUCUUGUUUACUAUCUGUUAUCUACCAAACAUGUCCCUGCGUGUGUACCAUGAUAAUUGCAUGGUAAUGCAAACCAGUUCUGAACCAGAUCCUGCUGGAUCACAACUUACAAGUGCUGAAUUUUCCCAGUUUUUACUGAUAACUGAAAUAUCAGUACACUCUUCACAUCAUCACAAAGUAAAGUAGUCGAUACUGACGGCUAAAUUUAGAAGGGCAAUCGGUAUUUCUUAAUGAUCAUACACACCAAGUUAUCUACCCAAUCAGUAACGAUCAAUUAGCACUGGUCCCUAGAGUUUGCGGUCUAGCCUGACAGUACUAGUUCUUGUUCUUUGCAUGGAAACUGAUUGCUAGCUAGCCUGGGUUAUUAAACGUGGAUAUCAUGUGCAUAGUUGUUGGAAACAAGGCUCGGAUGCGUAGUACAUGCCCACUAUUUUGUGGACAUUACAAGUUCUAGCUGCUCCAGUUUGCAAGAUUGUCCGUUAGGUUUCGUUAUAGUUCUUUGAACCUUGAUGCAGGACCCGAGAAGGAGGGAGUGUGACACUUCGAGUAUAGAUGGCAUACCUGUCAAAAAGGCCAAGUCUGAUGAUAACAUCUGCAAGAUUGGAGUUAGCCUUGCCCACAAGUUGAAAGAGCUUCUUUUUUUCCAUUGUGAAGUCCGCAGUCUUCUCCUUUUAUCCAUGUUGUCAUGGAUGGCUUCGUAACCUAAUUGCCAUCACGUGAUAAUAUAGUGCAUAUUCAGUGUUACAAAAGUGGAUUAAGCGCUAAGCACUUUAGCCGCCAUUAUUCUGUCUGGGCAGCUAGUAACAUAAGAGGCCAGAGAGACUAUCAUGGAUGUCGUAGCAAGGAGCCGAACUGGGGAACUUCUUUGUUCGCCAGUGUUGGUGCACACAAGUCCGAAAUCUGUAUCCUCGUUGUAAUUUUGCAUUGUUCAAAUAGUGAGUGGAUAUAGCUGUCAGAUUUUGGAGGCAUCAUGUAAAGCUGGUAAACUUUUGGUGUUGAUGAAUUAAUAUUUUGGAAA